Long non-coding RNA from Acanthopagrus latus (yellowfin seabream), 2867 nucleotides. RefSeq lists it as uncharacterized. The transcript has 3 exons. Lineage: Eukaryota; Metazoa; Chordata; Actinopteri; Spariformes; Sparidae. The record is from RefSeq and is a predicted model, not a curated record.
AAACCUAGGGAAAACACUGCAAACUUCAUAUAUUACUCAUAUGUUACGCUCAUACUGUGAAGGCUCAGUUUUAGAAAUGACAGCAUGGUAUGUCCAACAUCACAGUGUCGUUCGGCUCUUGGCUACAAAAACAUGAAAUCGGUUAAACACACAUAUUCACUUCAGUGGUGUGUACACACACAGGAGAGUUCAGGAUCUUCCCGUGUAAAUCAGCAGCAUCAGCCAUACAGCCCUCCAUUUAACACACAUGCUAUUGUCCUCUGCUGCACUCUGAUAAAAGGCACACAGAGUGAUACUAGGAUGGAGUCCCAACGGCAACAAUGACCCUGCUUGCUCUGCUGCUGCAAUGAAACACAUUCAGAUAUAUUGUCGCUGCAUCCAGUUCUAAACGCUGAUGGAGCUUUCCAGACACAACUGCACACUGUGCUGCGCUGUUGGUCGGACCAUCGCCAUGCAGGGCCGUUAGAGAUGUGGAGACACUAGUGUACAAACCACUAUUACUUGAUAAAUGAAUGUUGUCACACUGAAGUUGCUUGCACUGUUUCAUGUUCAUAUUGACAGAAUACACUUGGGAUCUUGGACUGUUGAUAGGACCACACAGGACAUUUUAGGAUCUUUAUCUUUGUACAUCUUAGAAUAAAUGAAUGUUAAAAAAGACAAAUUAUAUUAGAUGUUAAUUGCUGCCUUUGACCCCCCCCCAAAAAAACAACUGGAUAUAACUUGGUUAAGUCAUGGAUUUUUAGCCACGUAUGCCAUCUAUGUAAACUACAUCCCAGCUACAGAGCAACAAAUAGUUCUGCUUUGUUACAGCUUCCUCCCCUGCAGUGUAGCAAUGUAACACAUACAUCUGCUCACUUGAAAAACACCUGAGUAAAAUGUACACAAAUAUUGCUUUGAAACCAGAAUCAGCAGUGCUGUAAAUGUCAGAGCACGACCAUGAUACCGUGGUAAUAUAAUGCCUGCUAUGAGGUUGAGCUCAUUACCAUUACCAUCUUUUUUUUUUUCAUCCUCUAAUUUCACCUCAACAACCACAGCUCUCCAUCAACAACCAGAUUAUGGUACUGGUAACUAACAGUAAGUUCUAACCUGCUCCACUUUGACCUGAGGUCAAGUGUUUGAUCAUCCAAACACAACAUUUCUGUCAAUUUUUCACAACACGCACACACGCACGCACGCACGCACGCACAUAUAGCGCUCAGUAUCCCAACUGUGCUGGUUCUAAACUCCCUUGACACCAACCUGUAGGGGGCAACAGAUUCCACGUGGCCUCAGGGUUAGACCUGAAGCUUUCCCAGCUAGUAGACGUGCACACCUCCAACCCACACAUAUAGCAUGAUGCAGCACGCAAAACAUUACAGCAUUGCAAUAUACUUCUUCCAGUACAAGAUCAUAAUGAAUUACAAACAGGUUACAAAAUACACCAGAUGUUAAAACUAUUACAGUAGGAACACCAUAAUGAAAGUGAGGUGCAGCUGUGGGUAACUUUUCGUUUAUGGUUUAUAUAGACUUAACGCUACUACAAGAACUGUUAUUUUAUGUUGAUUCUGGCAGCCAAUCUGGAAAACUAAGUAAACUUGUUUUGAGGCCACACCAGUAGACUACAGAGCAGCUUCGUUUCUUAGAGUUUGUGACUCCUAAAUUCAUCCACAGCACUCCGCCAUCAAAAAACAGUUUAAAUUUUAUGCCGUAUUCAACCCAAGUUAGUUGGGAUCCAACCUGGUGACAGACAUGAAAAAUAACUUUUAUAACUAUACAGGAAAGGUCUGUCUUCUCGCUUAUGGUCUUGUUUGCUUCUGUAGGUCUUCAGAGGCAUCCAUAUAAAAUGGAUCCUGUUUUAUAUUCAGUUAAAGAAAUCUAACUAAUUUAAAUUACUUAAAGUUUUCUGACCGCAAAUUACAUUUUUAUCAUAAAUCUAUUAGAUUCACAUCCACCUACAAAAAAUAGGGCAAAGUAUCGCCAUUCCUUUGUUUUCAGGGAUGGAUGUCUUAAUGUGCUCAAACACAAAGAAGCAAUUCAAAAACAAAUAAAUAACUAAAACUCCAUCAAAAGACCAAACUGAGUUCUAGGUUCUUCACAUCUCGUGAGUACAUUUAUCUGGAUAGUAACCCCUGCCCCCUCUCUGCACUGCUCCAGUAAACAAAGCAAGAGAAAAUAAAUAAGAAAUCAUGAAAGAGUAGUGAAAGACAUGGCUGCUGUCAUGUGUUAACAGGUUGAAUUAAAUUAAAUCAGUCUUUCACAGUAACAGCAAGACUGAAACUGAAAACCAUGUUUACAGCAGUCAACAUUAGGUGGCAGGCCUCAACAAGGACCCUCUCAUUAGUCAGAGAUAUACACACACAAUCUCUUUCAACUUACUGCAUUUUCACAAUGGAGCUUUAAAUAAGGGCUCUUAAUACACACUUAUUUCUCAAGUACGCCGUGGGAUGUUCGUAAGAAAAACUCAAGAGGGGAAGCAAAAGACGUUGAAGUGCAGACUAAAUGUGUCUGUAACUUUUCAGCAAAGACUCGGCUGAGGCUUUGACUGAUAAAGCACUUGACCUAUAACUGCAUUCAAGAUUGAACAAACAAGCUAUAACCUGUUUGUUAGUGAACUUAAGAGGUGGUGUGCUGAUUUUACUCUUGGAGAGAGCCAGACCAGCUGUUUACCAACUUCCACUCUUAAUGAUAAGCUGACCAUCUCAGGGAUCAACCAAUUACCAACCUGACUGACACAUCCAAUAUUCCGCAUUUUCAGAUUAUUCCAAUUGUUUUAGCGGAUUGAUGAUAAAAUACAUUCAUUUAAAAAUGUGCCACUUUGGCUCUGAUGCAGCCGCCUCUGUCUGUGGUCCCACUCUUGAUGACAAGUUGACCAUCUGCUGGCUACAAUU